This 397-nucleotide transfer-messenger RNA is filed under the name Wocania arenilitoris. Its description in RNAcentral is "Standard tmRNA". It matches the Rfam family "transfer-messenger RNA". Rfam says of the family: Bacterial tmRNA, also known as 10Sa RNA or SsrA, is named for its dual tRNA and mRNA-like properties. Lineage: Bacteria; Pseudomonadati; Bacteroidota; Flavobacteriia; Flavobacteriales; Flavobacteriaceae. The record is from RNAcentral.
GGGGUCGACUGGUUUUGACAGCGAGAUUAAUUGAACGGUAAGCAUGUCGUGUAAUGGCAUUGAAAACACGUAAAAGGCUAUGUCAAACUUUUAAACGGCGAGAAUAACUACGCUUUAGCUGCUUAAUCUGAAUCACAGUAAGAUCAGGCCUCGUCCUACUAGGUAGGAAAGCUAAAUGUCUCUUGAAAGCCUUGGUUUAUGGCGUUCUAAUUAGAGGCAUCGUAAAAGUAAACCUAGAAAAUGUAGUGCUUUGAUACAUUUUUGAAACUAAAAAAGCUAAGUAAUACAUAGAGUGUUUUUAAUCAGUGUAUUAACAAAAAUCAUGAAAAAACUAAGUAUGUAGAAAGCCUUUUGGUAGCUUGUUUGGACGAGGGUUCGAUUCCCUCCGACUCCACAA